AGAAUCAACGCUGGCGGCGUGCCUAACACAUGCAAGUCGAACGAGAAAGUGGAGCAAUCCAUGAGUAAAGUGGCGACCGGGUGAGUAACACGUGACUAACCUACCUUCGAGUGGGGGAUAACCUCGGGAAACCGAGGCUAAUACCGCAUAACAUCGUGAGAUCAAAGCAGUAAUGCGCUGGAAGAGGGGGUCGCGGCUGAUUAGCUAGUUGGCGGGGUAAUGGCCCACCAAGGCGAAGAUCGGUAGCCGGCCUGAGAGGGCGCGACGGCCACACUGGAACUGAAACACGGUCCAGACUCCUACGGGAGGCAGCAGUGGGGAAUUUUGCGCAAUGGGGGAAACCCUGACGCAGCAACGCCGCGUGGAGGAUGAAGUCCCUUGGGACGUAAACUCCUUUCGACCAAGACGAUAAUGACGGUACUGGUGGAAGAAGCACCGGCUAACUCUGUGCCAGCAGCCGC
RNAcentral lists this ribosomal RNA (461 nucleotides) under uncultured bacterium. RNAcentral describes it as "SSU rRNA". It matches the Rfam family "Bacterial small subunit ribosomal RNA", at positions 26 to 518 of the family's 1533-position model. The record is from RNAcentral.